Clarias gariepinus (North African catfish) is the source of this 967-nucleotide non-coding RNA. NCBI's taxonomy places the organism in Eukaryota, Metazoa, Chordata, Actinopteri, Siluriformes, Clariidae. The record is from the annotation of a RefSeq genome assembly.
CAGCGCUCUGCGAGUGUUUAUAGCCCUGUGACUUUAACACUUCAUGACUGAGAGCUGCUGCUCAGCGACUUCACCCACAGCAACCAUGAGUUUGAUCAGCGUCUUCAUCUGCACACUGGCCCUCUGCGCUCGAGGAUCCAGAGGUCAGGUGACUGUGACUCAGAGUCCUGCAGUGAAAUCAGUUUCUCCAGGAGGCACACUCACCAUCAGCUGUAAAACCAGUACUCCUGUUUUCUUUGCUAGUAAUUUUGAUUCUUUGUACUGGUAUCAGCAAAAACCUGGAGAAGCUCCUAAACUCCUGAUCUAUGCUGCUAACAGUAGAGAAUCAGGUGUUCCAGAUCGUUUCAGUGGCAGUGGGUAUGCAACUGAUUUCACUCUGACCAUCAGUGGAGUCCAGACUGAAGAUGUUGGAGAUUAUUACUGUCAGAGUGUUCAUGAGAUCAGUAGUAGCUACGUGUUCACUUUUGGUGGAGGAACCAAACUCAUCAUCUCCGGUCCCACGGUGAAGCCCUCCGUGUCUCUGCUCCCUCCCUCCUCUCUGCAGCUGUCUGAGGGAUCGGCCUCGCUGCUCUGCCUGCUGUCUGCCUACUCUCCACAGGGGGCGCUGGUGAGCUGGACGGUGGACGGCUCAGAGGUGAAGGACGGGGUUCUGACCAGCGCGGAAGAACAGAAGAAGGACGGUUACACACGCAGCAGCACCCUGACCCUCAGCAAAGCACUCUGGGAAAAGGGGGAGGAGUUUGUCUGUAAGGUCUCCCAUGACGGCGUCAAUCAUCCGGUCACGUUCAGAAAGAGCCAGUGUGAAGGCUAACAGCUCCAAGAUAGAAUUUAACACUGAGCUGCUUACACAUCCAUCUACAAUAGAGUUUCAAUUCUACACAAUGCUGACAUUUCUGUCUUUACUCUCUUCACUGUCCUGUUGCUCUUCCUGUAGUUUUGCUCUGCUGAAAUAAAGCUUGAUUUUGGA